This 487-nucleotide ribosomal RNA is filed under the name uncultured bacterium. RNAcentral's name for it is "bacterial SSU rRNA". It matches the Rfam family "Bacterial small subunit ribosomal RNA", at positions 8 to 476 of the family's 1533-position model. The record is from RNAcentral.
AGAGUUUGAUCCUGGCUCAGAAUCAACGCUGGCGGCGUGCCUCAGACAUGCAAGUCGAACGUGAAAGUUUCCUUCGGGAGACGAGUAAAGUGGCGCACGGGUGAGUAACACGUGGGUAAUUUGCCUUCGGGUAGGGAAUACCGGUCGGAAACGACCGUUAAUACCGCAUAAUGCAGCGGCAUCUAUGAUGACAGUUGUUAAAGCGGGGGAUCGCGCAAGCGACCUUGUGCCUGAAGAGAAGCCUGCGGCAGAUUAGGUAGUUGGUAAGGUAAUGGCUUACCAAGCCUGCGAUCUGUAACCGGCCUGAGAGGGCGGUCGGUCACACUGACACUGACAUACGGGUCAGACUCCUACGGGAGGCAGCAGUCGGGAAUUUUGGGCAAUGGGCGAAAGCCUGACCCAGCAACGCCGCGUGAAGGAUGAAGCAUUUCGGUGUGUAAACUUCGCAAGAAUAGGAAGAAUAAGUAAACGCGAAUACCGUUAUGAU